GAUGAACGCUGGCGGCGUGCCUAAUACAUGCAAGUCGAGCGAACGGACGAGAAGCUUGCUUCUCUGAUGUUAGCGGCGGACGGGUGAGUAACACGUGGAUAACCUACCUAUAAGACUGGGAUAACUUCGGGAAACCGGAGCUAAUACCGGAUGAUAUUUUGAACCGCAUGGUUCAAAAGUGAAAGACGGUCUUGCUGUCACUUAUAGAUGGAUCCGCGCUGCAUUAGCUAGUUGGUAAGGUAACGGCUUACCAAGGCAACGAUGCAUAGCCGACCUGAGAGGGGGAUCGGCCACACUGGAAAUGAGACACGGUCAAGACUACUACGGGAGGCAGCAGUAGGGAAUCUUCCGCAAUGGGAGAAAGCAUGACGGAGCAACGCCGCGUGAGUGAUGAAGGUCUUCGGAUCGUAAAACUCUGUUAUUAGGGAAGAACAUAUGUGUAAGUAACUGUGCACAUCUUGACGGUACCUAAUCAGAAAGCCACGGAUAACUACGUG
Molecule: ribosomal RNA, 497 nt
Filed under: uncultured bacterium
Lineage: Bacteria
Description: partial 16S ribosomal RNA
Rfam family: Bacterial small subunit ribosomal RNA
Source: RNAcentral